RNAcentral lists this long non-coding RNA (459 nucleotides) under Fukomys damarensis (Damara mole-rat). Its description in RNAcentral is "lncRNA (ENSFDAG00000029919.1)". Lineage: Eukaryota; Metazoa; Chordata; Mammalia; Rodentia; Bathyergidae. The record is from RNAcentral.
AGGACAUAGAGCGGAGAUGCAGAAACCCAGGACAUGGACUCGUGGCUUGUUCUCGACUGUGCAGUGCGAAUGGGGUCAGGCACCAGGCAAAGAUUCCCCGGGGCCUCUCGAGAAGAAAUCUCACCAAACUCCUAGAAAAUCUAAGUUGCAAAUGCUGGCAAUUGAAUCCAGGCCCUGCAAACUGGGCUGCAUCCCCGGACCUCCUUUCUGCUGUUCUUUUGUUUUUUGGUACUAAGGAUUGAACUUGGGACCUUGUGCUUCCAAAGAAAGUGGCGGAACCACUGAGCUAAAUCCCUGGCCCUUUUUUUUUUUUUUUUUUUUUUUUUUUUUUUUUUUUUUUUUUUUUUUUUUUUUUUUUUUUUUUGGUAAUGGGGAUCAUCAAACUGUGUUUGCGAAGCAGGUGGUAGACCCAGAUCUUUUAAUGCUUAGCAUUGAGACAGGGUCUUGCUAAGUUUCUGA